CUGAUUAAGUUGCCUCAGCUAGGGAGGAGCUAGAAUCUUGCCAAAAGGUUUUCAAGGCUGAUAGGCAUUUAAAAGUGAAAGCAGAGUAGAGUCUGCUUGGGAUUCAUGAGCGGAGCUAUGAAGAUGAAAGAAAUAAGACAUAGAAAAAUGAAGGAAGUUCCCUGGCAUUGCACACUUGGUAUAGAUGAUGACACUAAGAUUUAAACUCUGACUCCAGAAUUCUUAUCUCCAUGAUUCUAUUCUGUCUCACCAGUAGAUUGACAGAUGUCAGUCUUGCUCCAUAUGCUUCCAUGUUAAGAGCUGAGCAUACCAGGACAUUGAAAAGAAAGAUUAUUUCACACAGUAUCAUAUCACCUACUUACUCUUAACACAGAAACUGUCCUUUGGGGCCCAAAGACAAAUGGAAUUGCUUAGCCUGAAGAUGGUUGCUUUCACAGACUGAUGAAAACCAUAAAAGCUAAGAUACAAAAUGUGACCUGUGCCUUUGAUCCAGAUACCAUUCUUUACUGGGAAGAACAGGAAAAGAGCUGUGGAUUUCUGAGAAUGGGCGCUGCAGUAUCUCCUUUGUCUCUGCCUCGUAUUGCCCUCCUCUCAAUGAGAAGGGUUAGAUGGCAAAGCUUCUCAGCUUAGUCACAAAGAGUCUCUAUAAAACCAGUCCUUCAUUUUUUAAGCUCAAAAUCAAUGGAAGAAAUCACAUGAAGAUCAAUACUUUCAACUCCAUAAAAAUUAAAAACAACUCUAUGUCAAAAUUUCAUACAACCCAAAUUAAAGGCAAACAGUAAACAGAGAAAAAUAUUUGCUACAGUUAUGAGGGUGAAAUCCAAUUUGGGUCAGUUCAACACAUGUCUGCUGUGCACCCUCAGGUAAUGAGAAUUGUUAAGUAUUGUCAAGGGUGGAGAUCUGACAACCUCAGGAGACACUUUUCUUAGAGUUCUGCUGAGGGCAGGGGACAGACCUGCCUAAUGAGAUGGGUGUGCACAGUGUAGAAGUAUCCCAGAAGAGAGACAAGACUUGAGGCUGUGAUAGGAUCUGAAUCUGAACUGUCCCCUGCAGUUUCUUAUUUGAAAUGAUUAUUCCCAGCCAGGAGCACUAUUUUGAAACCACAUGGAACCUUUAGGGACCAGCAGAAGUUGGGCAUCACGGGCAGGACUUUGAGGGCUGUAGACCAACCCUUGUUCCCAAGGGUUCAUUCUGCUUUCUGGUGUGUCAUGAUGUGAACAGCCUUCCGUGCUUCAAAAUACAGAAACCCUUAAAAAUAUUAGUCAAAGUAUUUUCUCCAUGUGCUAUUUACUUUUUCUCAACUUGACACACACUGGGGUCUUCAGGGAGGAGGGAGCCUCAACUGAGCAAGUGUCUCCAUCAGAUUGACUUGUGGGCAAGUCUGUAGGGACAUUUUCUUGAUUGAUGUAGAAGGACCCAGCCCACUCUGAGUGGUGCUACCCCUGGGCAGGUGGUCCUGGGAUGUAUAAAAGGGGUAUCUAAACAUGAUCCUGAAGAGAAAGUUAAUAAUCAAAAUUUCCCCAUUGGCCUCUGCUUCAGUUCCUGCCUCCAGGAUCUUGCCUUGACUUCCUGCCCUGACUUCCCUUCAUGCUGGACUGCGGCUGGCGUAAAGCUUACACAUGGCGGUGGGGCUCAAGGAGGAGCCAGAAAAGGAAGACAGGAGGACUCCAGGGGCCAGCCACCCAGUUACACAGCAAGCUACGGAAUAAGAAGUAAAAAAAGCAAUCCCCCUAAUUUCUGCCUCACAUCUUCCAUAGCAGAUGUAACUCACAGAGCAGUGGUGUGGAGUCAUGGAGGCGGCAGCUCUGCCCUCCUGAUGCUGAUGGGAAUGGUUCUGCUGUUUCACCAUGAAGGAAGAUAUAGGCUCUCCAUACGAGGUGCUUCAUGUUGAGUAGCCUCCUGUAUCUGUCACCUGCCUCGUUGCUGUGACAAAACAUCUGAUGACAAGCAAACUCAAGAGCAAGUUUUUCCUGGGGGGAAAGAAUGGCAGCAGGCACUUGGGCAGCUGGUCACGUUGCACCUGCAGUCCGGAAGCAGGAAGACAUGUACAGUGAUGUUCAGCUCGCUUUCCAUAUUUUAUUUGUUCCAGGAUCCUCAUACUCACAAAGUUAGUGCAGGACACCAGAACCUAAUGGUACUCAUAAGGUGUCAUGUUCCUUUAGCUAGCCUAAUGAGAUGUGACAGCAACUGGGCUUAUAUUUCUUCUAGAACUUAGUCCUUGAAAAGAUGCUGUCAUAGUUAGAGUAGCUUCCUGCCACAAUUCACCUAAUCUAGAAAUGCUUGACAAGCAUGCCCAGAGGUUUGUCUCCCAGGUGAUGCUAGACCCUGUCAAGCUGAAAACCAAUAUUAGCCAUAACACUCCCAUCCCUAUUUUUCUCUGGAUUGCUUUUUUUCAAUUGUGCAUGAAUAUUGUAUUUUAUCUGAAUGCUUUUUGUCAACCAUUGUUAAUUAUCAUGUGGGUUUUCAUAUUGAAAAGCUGUCAGUAUAUUAAUAGACUUUUUUUUCUAACACUAAUCUGUCCUUGCUUCUCUAGAAUAAAACUGGUUUAACUGUGA
Molecule: non-coding RNA, 2555 nt
Organism: Cricetulus griseus (Chinese hamster)
Lineage: Eukaryota; Metazoa; Chordata; Mammalia; Rodentia; Cricetidae
Source: RefSeq, a predicted model, not a curated record